UUAAGCAUAUCAAUAAGCGGAGGAAAAGAAACCAACAGGGAUUACCUCAGUAACGGCGAGUGAAGCGGUAACAGCUCAAAUUUGAAAGCUAGCUCUUUGAGGGUUCGCAUUGUAAUUUGUAGAAGAUGCUUCGGGUGUGGCCCCGGUCUAAGUUCCUUGGAACAGGACGUCAUAGAGGGUGAGAAUCCCGUAUGUGACUGGGUGCUUUCGCUCAUGUGAAGCUCUUUCGACGAGUCGAGUUGUUUGGGAAUGCAGCUCUAAAUGGGUGGUACAUUUCAUCUAAAGCUAAAUAUUGGCCAGAGACCGAUAGCGCACAAGUAGAGUGAUCGAAAGAUGAAAAGCACUUUGGAAAGAGAGUUAAACAGUACGUGAAAUUGUUGAAAGGGAAGCGCUUGCAACCAGACUUGCGCGCUGAUGAUCAUCCGGGCUUCUGCCCGGUGCACUCGUCUGCGCUCAGGCCAGCAUCGGUUUCGGUGGUGGGAUAAAGGCCUUGGGAAUGUAGCUCCUCUCGGGGAGUGUUAUAGCCCUCGGUGCAAUGCCGCCUACCGGGACCGAGGACCGCGCUUCGGCUAGGAUGCUGGCGUAAUGGUUGUAAGCGACCCGUCUUGAAACACGGACCAAGGAGUCUAACAUCUAUGCGAGUGUUUGGGUGUCAAACCCAUACGCGUAAUGAAAGUGAACGGAGGUGAGAACCCUUAAGGGUGCAUCAUCGACCGGUCCUGAUGUCUUCGGAUGGAUCUGAGUAAGAGCAUAGCUGUUGGGACCCGAAAGAUGGUGAACUAUGCGUGAAUAGGGUGAAGCCAGAGGAAACUCUGGUGGAGGCUCGCAGCGGUUCUGACGUGCAAAUCGAUCGUCAAAUUUGCGUAUAGGGGCGAAAGACUAAUCGAACCAUCUAGUAGCUGGUUCCUGCCGAA
This 914-nucleotide ribosomal RNA is filed under the name Rhynchosporium graminicola. Its description in RNAcentral is "partial large subunit ribosomal RNA". It matches the Rfam family "Eukaryotic large subunit ribosomal RNA", at positions 34 to 965 of the family's 3401-position model. Lineage: Eukaryota; Fungi; Ascomycota; Leotiomycetes; Helotiales; Ploettnerulaceae. The record is from RNAcentral.